AUGUCUGACCAGGAGGCAAAACCUUCAACUGAGGACUUGGGGGAUAAGAAGGAAGGUGAAUAUAUUAAACUCAAAGUCACUGGACAGGAUAGCAGUGAGAUUCACUUCAAAGUGAAAAUGACAACACAUCUCAAGAAACUCAAAGAAUCAUACUGUCAAAGACAGGGUAUUCCAAUGAAUCCACUCGGUUUCUCUUUGAGGGUCAGAGAAUUGCUGAUAAUCAUACUCCAAAAGAACUGGGAAUGGAGGAAGAAGAUGUGAUUGAAGUUUAUCAGGAACAAACGUAGUGGGGGGCGGUCAUU
This 302-nucleotide long non-coding RNA is filed under the name Homo sapiens (human). RNAcentral describes it as "non-protein coding lnc-CD37-2:1". Lineage: Eukaryota; Metazoa; Chordata; Mammalia; Primates; Hominidae. The record is from RNAcentral.